Molecule: small nucleolar RNA, 94 nt
Organism: Spea bombifrons (plains spadefoot toad)
Lineage: Eukaryota; Metazoa; Chordata; Amphibia; Anura; Pelobatidae
Product: small nucleolar SNORD12/SNORD106
Exons: 1
Source: RefSeq, a predicted model, not a curated record
CCGCUGCAAGUGAUGACUGAAACUUUUUUCCCCAGCAGAUCGAUAAUGGUGACCAGUCUGUUGCUUUAAGCCAAAUCGAGUCUGAUGCUAGCGG